GGAGGGAAAAAGGUGGAAACAACAUGGCUGGGCCAGAGACCACCUCUCCAGGCUGGCUGUCCUUGGAGGUGGAGUGAGCUGUAUGCAGGCUCCCGGGCCUUGCUGACAUUAGGACAUCUCUAGGUUUUCUAGUCACUCCUGGGAUUUAGCUGUGGUAGUUUGGCUCCCCCCGCUGCACACACAUGCUGUUUUUUACUGCAGGUACCAAUCCUGGAGCAAGAUCCCCCAGAGUGUACAGCCUUCACUCCUCCAGGGAUGGGGGCCCCCUGGACACCUCCAAAGAUCCAUCAUCCUGUGGGAGCAGCCACUGGUGGAACAGCGGUGCUGAGGGGUCGACCUGGAGCCCAGGCAAAGUGGCCAAGCCCUGUUGGGAACGUUCAAGGCUGGAAGCCAGCCUAACUAACAAGUGUGCAGGCAGGGAGCCAGCAUCGCUGUAUUGGUCCUUGCAGAGGAACUGGAAAGGAGUGCAAGAGCUGGAGUCCUGUGCAAAGAAGACUCAGAGCAAAGGAGACAGAGCCCGGUAUGCUGGGGCCUUCAGAGACUGAUCCUGCACUAAGGCUGAAGUGUCAGCCCCAGGAAUUGGGCUCAGUCAUGCCCACAGAUGUCUGCCAGUGCCCUGGGAGUAGAAGAUGGUAUUGAGACCACGAAAGGGUCCUGGACGUGGGGGUGCCGGAUGGGCUCUGGGACAUCUCCACAGAGUCCCUGUUUGCAGAGCCAGAGGAGUGCUGCAGAUAGAUAGAAAACGCCAGGUGCCCUUUGGGUGACACUGUCCCUGCUGUAAGACUGGCCCAGCACUCCUGGAGCACACGCAUGACUGAUAGGCACCACACAGGCAAGCGUGGGACUCAGGAUGGUACAGCCCAUAGAAGAGGGGUUUACUCUGGGGUGCUCCCCAGGAGUUUAGGAAGCCUGAGUGCACCAUGGCCAGAACCACCACACUGUGGGGUUGCCAUAGCCCUCCAGUGACCCCAUAAGUGCUGAGCAAACCUACUCAGCAAAGGAGAAGUGACACUGCAGGCUCACACUGUAAGCAUCUUGGCGCUGCGGAAUUUUGUACUGGAUUAGCUGUUGAAUAUGCACAGUUAUCUUUUGAAUAUGCGUACUGAUAUCUGUUGGCCAUACUGCUGAGUGUUCUGUUGACCAUCCUGUUGGCAUCCAUACUGUUAUUGUCUGAGGCCAUCUGUUCUAUUGUCCAACUGUGGUCUGGCAUUGAUCGACUGAAUAAUGAACUAAGCUUGGGAAGAAUAAAAGGAAGUAAGCCACAUACCUCUGUGUGGGC
RNAcentral lists this long non-coding RNA (1279 nucleotides) under Struthio camelus australis. RNAcentral's name for it is "lncRNA (ENSSCUG00000018257.1)". Lineage: Eukaryota; Metazoa; Chordata; Aves; Struthioniformes; Struthionidae. The record is from RNAcentral.